AAAAUAGUCAAAAGGUGCAUAUACAUACAUUUGGGUCUAGUACGCGUAACGCCAAACGUCUACUGUUAUUAAACUUUUGUUGCUAUCCAAACACAUGUUUCAUAUAGUUAUUACAACCACAUUGAACUACGGAUUAAGUCGUUUACUUUUCCUAACAUAAGUAUACUGUAACCCGUCUCCUUCCUCGGCAACAGUGGAUUUCUCCGGGUCACAUACCUUUGAUUCUCUGCCCUUCAGCUGUGACAUUUUUUUCAAAAUAUAAAUUAAUAUACAAACAAUGAAUAUUAAAAAAAAAUGAAUAAUCAUCGAAUAUAUCCGACAUAACGAUGAACAAUACAACAUUUUAAAUGAAUAAUUAAUAUGUGUCAACAUUCAAAUAGAACAACAUUGAAUAUAUCCAACAUAACAAUGAACAAGGCACCAUUUUUAAUGAAUAACAACUCUGUAACAACACUGUCAAUGAAUAACCUCAAAUAUAAUCAACAAAAAUAUGCACAUGAUAACAUUUUUUAUGAAUAAUACGAUUAAUCAAACUUACCAUGAUUCAAAGAUUAGAUCUUUGAGGGCAGAUUGUGAUACGCCCGUGUCUUUCAUAUGUGUCGAACUACUAGCAAAAAUCAAAUCCAUUGUUCUUAUUGUGUGCAACUUGGGAUCCACUCCAAUGACUACGUGCAAUACAACAACACAAUCGUAAAAGGACUUUCGAAAUUUGCCAAGAAAUUACUCGCCCAAAAGUUCAGACUCAAAAUUCACCCAAAUAUUACUCGAAAUCGUAAAAGGGUUUUCGAAAAAAUUCAGACAAAAGGAAAAACACCACAUAUUCAACAAAUUUAACAUCGACAUUCACAAAUCGACAAUACAAAAAAUAAAUUUUCAAAGUUUAAGUGAAUUCUUACUAUGAUCUUUUGCAAAAAUCGAGAGGAAGAAGAUGACUUUCAACGGCAAAAAAUUGGUUUCGCGGCCAUUUGAGAGAAAUAAAAUCCCUACUCUAUUGCGUUCUACCGCCGUUUGGUGAAGUCCAAAAGAUACCCAAAACUAUUCAAUGAAUUGGAAAAGGAAAGGCGAAAAAGUUGGGAUUGGUUUGAUGCGCAUUGAUUACCAAUUUUCAAGAUUACUGUAGUACCCUUUUUAAUUCACAGAAAAUUGUUCAGCAAAUUUUCGAAUUUAAUGUAGAAUAUAUUGACAAUUUAAUAUCAACCGUUAGAUUGAUGAAAAUUAAC
Molecule: long non-coding RNA, 1220 nt
Filed under: Salvia miltiorrhiza (redroot sage)
Lineage: Eukaryota; Viridiplantae; Streptophyta; Magnoliopsida; Lamiales; Lamiaceae
Description: long non-coding RNA (SMIL_LNC000034)
Source: RNAcentral